Zea mays is the source of this 847-nucleotide RNA transcript. It is a transcript of the gene named cactin, with no coding region annotated. The transcript has 7 exons. The record is from RefSeq and is a predicted model, not a curated record. NCBI's taxonomy places the organism in Eukaryota, Viridiplantae, Streptophyta, Magnoliopsida, Poales, Poaceae.
AGGCUGAAAUAGAAAAGGUUAAGAAAAGAAGAGAAGAGCUAUUGAAAAGGCACGACAUGAAGAGGAAAUGACAUUGCUAGCUAGAGAAAGAGCACGUGCCGAGUUUCAAGACUGAGAGAAGAAAGAGGAAGAGUUUCAUUUUGACCAAAGCAAGGUCAGGUCUGAGAUCAGGUUGCGGGAGGGGCGUACAAAGCCUAUUGAUGUUCUCCUUAAGAAUCAUUUGCUCAUCCUUAUCUAAGUGGAUUAACAGUGAAAGAAAUGGAAGAGCUACGUGAUGACAUUAAGAUGCAUCUUGAUCUGGACAGGGAAGCCAAACAAAUGUUAAGUACUAGGAGGCACUCAUGGUGGUAUGCGAAUGGGAGUUAGGCGAGGCUCGGAAAAGAGAUGCCCUAGAUCGAGCUAGGGUCCAUGGUGAGGAACCACCACCUGAGGUUCUUGCAGAAGAGAGAGGUUUGCAUGCAAGUAUUGAGGGGGAUGUAAAAAGUCUCCUGGAUGGUAAAACUUCCACAGAGCUUGAAGAUAUGCAUGGUCAAAUUGAGUCCCAAAUGAGCUCUGGCACUGCAAAAGUUGUUGAGUACUGGGAGGCUAUUCUGAAACGGCUUCAUAUUUACAAAGCAAAGGCUUUCUGUGACUUUGAUUCGGUGAUCUCUGUUAGUACUUCAGCACUCAGGGAAGUUCUCUAAGGCAGGCAGUUGAACUUUGGCAGAAACUUGGUUGCUCCAGAUGGAUGUGGAGCCAGGACUCGUGUUGAAGCUUCUGCUUGAUGGACGGCUGAAGCUUGUGUUGGCCUUGACAUUAUUGAAUUCUCGUGCCUCUUUACAAGUAGAGUCUGUAUCUUUUUGUUCCC